AGAGUUUGAUCAUGGCUCAGAUUGAACGCUGGCGGCAGGCCUAACACAUGCAAGUCGAGCGGUAACAUUUCAAAAGCUUGCUUUUGAAGAUGACGAGCGGCGGACGGGUGAGUAAUGCCUAGGAAAUUGCCCUGAUGUGGGGGAUAACCAUUGGAAACGAUGGCUAAUACCGCAUGAUGCCUACGGGCCAAAGAGGGGGACCUUCGGGCCUCUCGCGUCAGGAUAUGCCUAGGUGGGAUUAGCUAGUUGGUGAGGUAAUGGCUCACCAAGGCGACGAUCCCUAGCUGGUCUGAGAGGAUGAUCAGCCACACUGGAACUGAGACACGGUCCAGACUCCUACGGGAGGCAGCAGUGGGGAAUAUUGCACAAUGGGCGCAAGCCUGAUGCAGCCAUGCCGCGUGUAUGAAGAAGGCCUUCGGGUUGUAAAGUACUUUCAGUCGUGAGGAAGGUGGUGUUGUUAAUAGCAGCAUCAUUUGACGUUAGCGACAGAAGAAGCACCGGCUAACUCCGUGCCAGCAGCCGCGGUAAUACGGAGGGUGCGAGCGUUAAUCGGAAUUACUGGGCGUAAAGCGCAUGCAGGUGGUUCGUUAAGUCAGAUGUGAAAGCCCGGGGCUCAACCUCGGAACUGCAUUUGAAACUGGCGGACUAGAGUACUGUAGAGGGGGGUAGAAUUUCAGGUGUAGCGUGUGAAUGCGUAAAGAUCUUAAGGAAUACCGGUGGCGAAGGCGGGCCCCUGGACGGAUACUUGACACUUCGAUGCGAAAGCGUGGGGAGGCAACCAGGAUUAGAUCCCCUUGGUUGUCCCCCCCGUAAACCAAUGGUUUUCUUGGAGGGUGGGGGCCUUUGGGCCGGGGGUUUUCGGAAUCUUAACGCGUUUAGUUAUCCCCCCCCCGGGGAGGACCCGUCCCCAAGAUUUAAAACUUCCAAAUUUAUUUUGACCGGGGGCCCCGCCCCAAGCGUGUGUGGAUCUUGGUGUUUUUUUUUUCUUAUGUCACCCCGCAAAAAAACCUUUUUCCCUCUCUUUUUUGUAAUUUUCCCAAAUUAUAUUCCCCGCGGGAAAAACGCCCGGGGGGGGGGUUUUUUUCGGGGAGGAAUUUUUCUUAAAAAACGGGUGGGUGUUUUCUAUGGGGUGUUUUUCUUUUUUCUUCUUCUUUUCCUGUUUUUUUGUGGGAAAAAAUUUUGUUUGUUGGGUG
RNAcentral lists this ribosomal RNA (1193 nucleotides) under Vibrio aestuarianus subsp. francensis. RNAcentral describes it as "ribosomal RNA 16s ribosomal RNA". The stretch from base 2 to 952 matches the Rfam family "Bacterial small subunit ribosomal RNA", at positions 9 to 873 of the family's 1533-position model. The record is from RNAcentral. Lineage: Bacteria; Pseudomonadati; Pseudomonadota; Gammaproteobacteria; Vibrionales; Vibrionaceae.